RNAcentral lists this ribosomal RNA (1417 nucleotides) under human gut metagenome. Its description in RNAcentral is "bacterial LSU rRNA". It matches the Rfam family "Bacterial large subunit ribosomal RNA", at positions 495 to 1990 of the family's 2925-position model. The record is from RNAcentral.
GCAGUACCGUGAGGGAAAGGUGAAAAGGACCCCGGGAGGGGAGUGAAAGAGAACCUGAAACCUUGUGCUUACAAGCACUCAAAGCCCGUUAAAGGGUGAUGAGGUACCUUUUGUAGAAUGGUCCGGCGAGUUAUUGUUACUGGCAAGCUUAAGGCAUUCAGUGCCGGAGGCGCAGGGAGACCGAGUCUGAAUAGGGCGUAUGAAGUCAGUGGCAAUAGACCCGAAACCGGGUGACCUAUCCAUGGGCAGGUUGAAGUGGGGGUAAAACCCCAUGGAGGACCGAACGCACGCCCGUUGCAAUGGUCGGCGAUGACCUGUGGAUAGCGGUGAAAUUCCAAUCGAACUCGGAGAUAGCUGGUUCUCCCCGAAAUAGCUUUAGGGCUAGCGUUGGCUUAGAUUACCGGAGGUAAAGCACUGAAUGGGCUAGGGGCCGAUAAGGUUACUGAACCCUAUCAAACUCUGAAUGCCGGAUAAUUGAUGGCCAGCAGUCAGUCUACGUGAGAUAAGUCUCGUGGACAAAAGGGAAACAGCCCAGACCCACAGCUAAGGUCCCAAAGAUACGCUAAGUGGAAAACGAUGUGGAGUUGCGAAAACAACCAGGAUGUUGGCUUAGAAGCAGCCACUCAUUAAAAGAGUGCGUAAUAGCUCACUGGUCGAGUGACUCUGCGCGGAAAAUAUAACGGGGCUAAGCGUAACACCGAAGCUUGGGCUGCACAGCAAUGUGCGGGGUAGGGGAGCGUCGAAUAUGGGGUGAAGUCGUAGCGGAAGCAGCGGUGGACUGUAUUCGAGUGAGAAUGCCGGAAUGAGUAGCGAGAAUUAUGUGGGAAUCAUAAUGGCCGAAAAUCUAAGGUUUCCUGGGGAAGGUUCGUCCGCCCAGGGUAAGCCGGGAGCUAAGGCGAGGCCGAAAGGCGUAGUCGAUGCACAUACGGUUGAAAUUCCGUAGCCACCGAACCUUAAGUACACUGACACAUGGAGAUAGCGGGACCCGGGCGUUGGUUGACCCGGGCGUAAGGGACCGAACUUUAGUAGGGAAGUCCGCGAUGCUCUGUGGCGAGAAAAGGUGUAUGGUAUGCUAAGGUGCCCGUACCGCAAACCGACACAGGUAGAUGAGGAGAGAAUCCUAAGGCCAACGGGAGAAGGGUUGUUAAGGAACUCGGCAAAAUGACCCCGUAACUUCGGGAUAAGGGGAGCCUGUCUAUGGCAGGCCGCAGAGAAUAGGCCCAAGCGACUGUUUACCAAAAACACAGGUCUAUGCUAAAUCGAAAGAUGACGUAUAUGGGCUGACGCCUGCCCGGUGCUGGAAGGUUAAGAGGAGAUGUCAGGCAACGAAGCAUUGAAUCGAAGCCCCAGUAAACGGCGGCCGUAACUAUAACGGUCCUAAGGUAGCGAAAUUCCUUGUCAGGUAAGUUCUGACCCG